This 505-nucleotide ribosomal RNA is filed under the name uncultured bacterium. Its description in RNAcentral is "bacterial SSU rRNA". It matches the Rfam family "Bacterial small subunit ribosomal RNA", at positions 25 to 518 of the family's 1533-position model. The record is from RNAcentral.
CAGAACGAACGCUGGCGGCGCGUCUUAAGCAUGCAAGUCGAACGGCAAGCUACCUCGGGUAGCCUAGAGUGGCGGACUGGUGAGUAACACGUGGGUGACAUGCCUUCAGGACUGGAAUAGCCUGCAGAAAUGCAGGGUAAUGCCGGAUACGGUGCAGGACGUUAGGGGUCCUGCAAGAAAGGAGCAUUUGCUCCGCCGGGAGAUUGGCCCGCGGCCCAUUAGCUAGUUGGUGAGGUAAAGGCCCACCAAGGCAAUGAUGGGUAUCCGGCCUGAGAGGGUGAUCGGACACAUUGGGACUGAGAUACGGCCCAGACUCCUACGGGAGGCAGCAGCUAAGAAUAUUCCGCAAUGGAGGAAACUCCGACGGAGCGACGCCGCGUGGAAUGAUUGAAGGCCGAAAGGUUGUAAAAUCCUUUUGAACCGGAAGAAUAAGCGCAGGAGGGAAUGCCUGCGUGGUGACGGUACGGUUCGAAUAAGCAACGGCUAAUUACGUGCCAGCCGCGGC